UUUUUUUUUUUUAGGGCUGCACCCAGGGCAUAUGGAGGUUCCCAGGCUCGGGGUCUAAUCCGAGCUACAGCUGUUGGCCUAUGCCAGAGCCACAGCAAUGCCAGAUCCCAGCCAUGUCUGCGACCUAAACCACAGUUCGCUGCAAUGCUGGAUCCUCAUCCCACUGAGCGAGGCCAGGGAUCGAACCCGCAACCUUGUGGUUCCUACUUGGAUUUGUUUCCACUGCUCCACAAUGGGAACUCCAGGAUUUUUUUUUUUAAGGCUAUACCUGCAGCAUAUGGAAGUUCCCAUUCUAGGAGUCAAAUCGGAGCUGCAGCUCUCAGCGUAUGGCACAGCCACAACACCACCAGAUCCAAGCUGCCUCUGAAAAUUUCACCACAGCUCAUAGUAACGCGGGAACCUUAACCCACUGAGUGAGGUCAGGGAUUGAAAUUGCAUCCUCAUGGACACCACGUUGUGUUCUUAACCCUCUGAGCCGCAAUAGGAACUCCCAACAGUUAGGAUUUUUUAGAACAAGGACCUUUUUGGUGCAGAUUUAUGAGAUGUUUUAUUUUCUUUUGAAAAGUAUUGAUUUUGAAAGCCUUCUAAAUAAAUGGCACUGAUCUAUCUAUUCUUGAAUCACUGAGAGUAGGUCACCUGUAGACAGCAAAUGAUUUUUAUUUCCUAGAGGUAUAUUUUGUUGAAGAGAAAACAAAGGCAAAAGAAAGCUUAAUUUAUAAUGCCACAUGAAAUUACUGGAAUUCAGCAUUUAAGAGUUUAUGCUGUAUAUAAUAUGAGAACACACUAGCUUCUGAAAUGAAACAAAUAGACUGAUUCUGUUUUAAUCCAAUAAAUACUAUGAAAUAAACCAUAAACAGAACAAUGAAAAAAAUUCUAUUAAAUAGAGAUAUUUCAUUCACAAUCAUACCAGCUACAUUUCUUAUUUGGUAAUGGUUUAAAAAUUAAAAUAUACAAUUUAAAAUAAUAAAUCAUUAAGGAUACAGAGCUAUUUCUUCUGAGUUAAAAUAGAUUAUGAAAAGGACAACUAAAAUAAGGUCUUUGUUAUUGGUAAAUAUACAUGUAAUAAAGAGUUCCUGUUGUGGCUCAGCAGGUUAAGAGUAUCCAUGAGGUUGUGGUUCAAUCCCUGGUCCUGCUCAGAGGGUUGGGGAUCCAGCAUUGCCAUGAGCUGGGGUGUAUGUCGCAGGCACAGCUCAGUUCAUAGGCUGCUGUGCUGUGUGGCGUAGGCCAGCAACUGUAACUCCCAUUCGACCCAUAGUCAGGGAACUUCUAUACGACACAGAUGUGGCCCUAAAAAAAAACGUAUAGAGCUAAAUAUAAAAAUGGCAAUACAAAGGCCAACAGAUCUUUGGAUAGAGGGAUUUUUUUUUUUACUUCAUGUAUUUCUCAAAUUUAUCUCUUGACUAAAUAUUUCCAAUGACAAAAAUAUUAUGAUACUUUUAAAGACUAGAGUGAGAAUUUUUUCAAAAGUUUACUAACUAAAAUAUCAUAAUAAUUCUUUCCCAGUCCUCCUGUCAACAUUAUCAAUAAAAUAUCACUUGCAAAAAUUUACCAAAUAAAUUAAAUCUCAGGAUAGCAUAAUAUUUUCAACAAUAAAUAUUAGGAAAAUAUAUUUUUGAAAAAAAAUUUAUACAACAGAAAAUGGUUAUUUGUAUAAUAAAUGAAUAGAAAAGUUGAUGUAACUGACAUUAUUAUGAUGUUAUUCUUAUUUAUAUGUCUUUAUGUAAGAUUUUACAUUCUGAUAUAAAUGUUUAAAGUUUGUAUGAGUGAAAACUUGAAAGAGUUUGUAUAAUUGUAAACUGUGGUGAGGCAAAAGUUAGCUAGAAGGAAAACGACUUCAAGUACAGGCAAAAAAAUCAUUUCAAGGACACCAUAUUUUAAGAUGCCGUGAAAAAUGGAAAAGAUUGCUAAGGGGCAAGAAGUCAUAUUUAACCUCACAGACAUUUUAGUCUAACAUUAUAUCAUAUCUAGUUCAAUAAACUCUCAACUGUAAAUAAGGUACCUAUGAAAUACAUUUUGAUACCAAUUUUAGAAAAUUUUCUACCUUGUAUUACCUGGCACAGAUUCUGUAUCAUUCAAUGAAAAUCCAAAAUUUAAAAUUUUUGAAUAAGUAACAGUCUCUGAAAGUUUUGGCAUUAAGAGGGCUUAGUAGAUAGUGACAAGUCGAAUCUUUAGACUUUCCUUAGUAAACAGACGGGAGCUGUUCUUACCAAAAUGUCCAGAGAAAAGUUCAGACAAAAGAAUAGCUCUAAUUUCUUAAGUACAGAGAGGAGAUUAUGGGUUCACACAUUGCAAGUUAACUCUAGCUUACAAAGCAAUCUGAGAAGUAUCAAACUGCAGUCAUAAGAAAAGGUGACGUUUGUACCAUAUGACAGUCUUAUUACAUUCCUAGAGUAGGAUAACAGAGGUCCACUUUCUGUCUCUCUAACCUCUCUCAUAAGAGGGAGUCACUCACAUGCUUGAAUGACCAGAAGGACACAUGGGCAGCAACUGAUUGGUCAUCCAUGCUGACCUCAAGAGAGCUCAGCCUGGCAUGAUGAAACCACUAAGCAUCAAAGAGUAAUCUUCAUUUAGGACCUGAAAUCUAUUCAGUAUGGAUCCUGUUUCACUUUGCACCUUUUGUUUGCAAAACUCUUUGCCCAUUUUGACUUUAGUGUUUCAAAAACUGAUCAAGGUCCAUGGAGUGAAAAGUCAGAUCCACAUUUAUAUUCCUACAUCUCCCAUUUCCUGACUGCAUGACCCUUAUUCAUUUUCUAAAAGUAUGGACACUUAGCAUCCUCAAUUUUCAGGGGAAGAUAGGGCUUCAGCUUCAUGGGAUUUUAUGAAGCUUAAAUGUGCUAAUAUGUGUAAUGUACUAGCACAAAUCUGACACAUACAGAAAUGCCACAGAAGACAAUGAAUAUUAGCCUUUUCAUUCCUUGUUGAUCAUCCUUUCAUGUACUAUAAUUUUCUAAAGAAUGGAGAAUUUCCCUGUUAGACAGAGUCACUUGCUGUAGCAGUGACUGUCAGAGCCAGGGUUUAGAACUCAAGUUCUUAGUGAGAAAUAUGAGAUUUGGAGGGAGGGUAGUUGGAUGAAUGAAAACAGGACUUUGAAAAAGCACCAAACAUUACUCUUAUAUGUCCCACUUGGGGUGAGGGAACUAAAAAUCAAACUAGUGGACUAGCUUAAGUGCAAGGAAAAACAUCAUAUUUAUAAAUUGAGUAUAAGUAAUGUCUGCUACCAAAAAAGUUCAUAUUUUUAGAGUAUUACAAACAAUGUCCCAGUGGAUUUAUUUGUAGGUGGAGUCAUUGACUCAAAAGUAACAUGUGCUAUUCAAUUUGAUAAACUUUUAAAAAUUGCUCACCACCACCAUCACCAGCAAAGUGAACCAGUUUAGAGCCCCACCCACAUAAUAUGAAGACUUUUUUCUUCUAUGUCUUUGCCAACACUCAAUGUUAUCUAUGUUUAAAUGAUACUAUCAUCACCCUUCUCUUAGCCAUCAGCUUCUAUUUCUGUAAUUGAUAGUCCCUAGAAAGGCAGUACAAUGGUUAAAAAUACUGCCUCAGUUCAAAUUCCUCCUUUACCACUUACUUAAUUGUGUGACCUUGAACAAGCCACUUAAAUUCCUGGUGCCUCAGAAUCCUUCUAAGCUUAGUGUGACAAUUAAUUUAUUUUAAAUGAGUUUAUAGUAUUUAUAUUCAGAGAUGAGAACCUAGACCUAUGCAUUAUUAUAGAAAUGUUUAUUAGCAGAAUAUAUAUUAGUUUCCUCUUGCUGCUAAUAACAGACUACCACACAAUUAGUGGCUUCAAACAACAGAAACGCAUUGUUAGAGUUCUGGAGGCCAGAAGUAUGAUUGAGUCCAUGAGAACUAAAUCAUGGUUUCAGAAGGGCUAGUUCCUUGUGAAAACUCCUUAUGAAAAGGAGAGCAUUUGUUCUUCGUCUCUUCCAACUUCAGGUGACUGCCAACAUCCUUUGGUUUCUGGCUGCAGCAGUCCGAUCUGUUUCUAUUGCUACAUUGCCUUUUCUUCUACAGUUAGAUCUCUUCUCUUUGCCUGAUUAUGUGUAUGGCUCAUUAGAAUAAUGCAGAAUAAUCUCUACAUCUCAAGAUCUUUAACUUUAAUCACAUCUGAAAAGACUCUUCAGUCAUAUAAGUCAACAUGUACAGAUUCCAGGGAUUAUAACUUGGCUCUCUUGAGGGGGGGUCUAUAUUUGGUUUUCCACACUACUUUUUAAAACAUUUAGAUUGGAAUGCUUGCAUAUUUCUCAUCUAUUUGUUAACUCUAUAUUUUGGUCUAUAUAUUUUAUCAGUUGGACAAAAUACAAAUAUUUUCUCCCAAUUUGUCUCUCCCUUUUAAAUUUGCUCAUAACCUUCAUAAUAUAAGAAUUUUAAUGAGCAUAUCAUUUAUUACUUAACAUCUCUGUAAGAAGGAAAUAAAGAAAACUUACACAUCUGUAUUAAACAAUGGUAUGCUACCAUUAAAAUAGAGAAGUGGAUCUGUAUUCUAACUUAGGAAAAUAUUCCGCUAAUAUUGUUAAGUGAUGAAGGUAGCCAUUGAUUUAUGUAAAGUAUAAUUUUAUUUUACAUAUGAAAUAUUCUGAAUGAUGCACUCCAAACUUCUUAAGAACUGCCAAAAAUGAUGGCAUUAGGAGUAAGACAAAUUAUUACUUUUUAGUUACUAUUAAUUUUGUUUAAAUACUUAAAUGAUAAAUAUAGUUAUAUGUCACUUCUAUAAUUAAAUCUGAAAUGAGGAUAUUAAAGUCCAAAGAGAAGUAUAUUUAAUUUGCUAAAGAAUUUCAGAGGAAGGAGACAAUUACUUGUCUAGGAGAAUUGAAGGAGGCAACAUUUUAGAAAGGAAACACGCAUUUGAGCACAUACCAGCAAAGUUAAUAGUUUGUUCUAGAAGGCAAUUUAAUUUAAUAGGAAUGAAGGUGAGUGAAGGUGUGAUAGUUAAUUUUAUGUGUAAACUUGACUGGGCUAAAGCAAGCCCAGAGAGCUAAUAAAACAUUAGUUCUGGUUAUGUCUCCGAGGGUGUUGCAGAAAGCAUUUGAAUCAGUAUACUGAGUAAAGAUUUGCCAUCACCACUGUGGCCAGGCCUCAUCCAAGCUGUUGAGGGCCUAAAGAGAACAAAAUUGCAGAGAAAGGGUGAAUUUUCUCUCUUCUUUAGCUGGAAUAUCCAUCUUCUGCCCCUGGACCUGGAAGCUCCUGGUUCUUGGGCCUCAAACUAAGUUAUUCUUCAGGCUUUCCUAGUUCUCUGGCUUGCAGAUGGCAGAAAGAGGGACUUCUGUCUCCAUAACCAUGUGGACCUAUUUUUAUAAUAAAUCUUUAUAAUAAUUUUUUUAAUAAUAAAAUCUCCUGUCGGUUCUCUUCUCUGGGAAAUUCUCAGUAACAUGGAAGGUAAUAAGUAUGGGUAGGUAAGAAGUAAUAAUGAUGAAAUGUUUCAUUUGAAUCAAAUCUUAGAAGGAUUUAAUAUGUCAGAUUUUAGACUUAUUCCUCCUAGGUUAAGACUCCUAAACCAGUGACCAGUGGUAGUCAAUGGCCACUGAGAGUACAACCAAAUUAACCUCAGUAAUUUUAAGGCAAUCCAUGCACAAAGGAAAAUAAGACAACACAUGCAUGAGAGAGCCCUGCUCAGGGUGAUUUUCACCUUACAGUGGGCACAGUCCUAAGCAUCAUCAUUUUCCCAAGUCUCAGUGUCUUAGGACAAACCAUAGGAAAACAAAGGGCCAUAGAUAUGCUGAACCAGCUAUCAAAAAAACAAUGGCAGAGGACAUGUUCAAGAAAAUUUUAUCUGUCUUGAUAAAAAAUAUUUCUUAAAGAAAUGGAUACCAUGAGCAAAAGUAUCACAUAUAUUUAGAGAGAGAGAUACCCAUGCUCUAAAUUGCUAGAAAUUUGAAAGAUUAUAGCACAAAUUAAUUAUA
Molecule: long non-coding RNA, 5897 nt
Filed under: Sus scrofa (pig)
Lineage: Eukaryota; Metazoa; Chordata; Mammalia; Artiodactyla; Suidae
Description: lncRNA (ENSSSCG00005027871.1)
Source: RNAcentral